GCGAGUAUAACCUCUCUAAACCAUUGUGAACGAACGAACCAGUUGCUUAGGCUGGUGGACGGCUACUGCUAGUACCCGGCCGGCAGAACGCAAACUCUUUCUAUAUGUCAUCCUCUGAGUUACUUAUUAAAUAAGUCA
Molecule: unclassified non-coding RNA, 138 nt
Filed under: soil metagenome
Description: partial internal transcribed spacer 1
Source: RNAcentral